RNAcentral lists this ribosomal RNA (324 nucleotides) under Triticum aestivum (bread wheat). RNAcentral's name for it is "partial small subunit ribosomal RNA". Lineage: Eukaryota; Viridiplantae; Streptophyta; Magnoliopsida; Poales; Poaceae. The record is from RNAcentral.
AUGGCUUGCUGGAGGAUCCUGCUGGCCGGAGGUGACCGGGACGGUCGCUGGGCUUGGGGAGGCGCCGGACUUGCUGGACCUCGCGAUGAAUACCCCGGGGAAGCAAGGAACGAGGCGACCACGGCAGUGCUCCACUCCUCCCAGUGCUCCUUCUGCGAGGAGAGUUGGCAGCGGGGACAUGGGCGCAGGGCGACGCGCUUUAGGGCCAGCACGGUGGCCUCCAUGGCCGGCAGCCGUGCGGUCCGAAGGAGCUCCAGGCACGGGCUCCAGGCCAAGGCGACGGCGAGGCGGGUCGAGGGCGGCGGUGCUGGAGAGAAGCGAUGA